AUGCAUCAGAGACCUGGGCAGGGGCUGGAAUUCAUCGCCAGCAUCUACUACGGCAGUGGGGGUUACACCUUCUACGCGCCGUCGCUGGCGGCCAUGACCCUGCUGGAGUGCGGGGGGGGGGACCUCCAGCCUCCCGGGGGAUCCCUGCGCCUCCUCUGCCGAGGGUCCGGGUUCUGUUUCGGGAGCUACGACAUGUUCUGGGUGCGCCAGAGACCCAGGCAGGGGCUGGAGUGGCUCGCGAUGAUCAGGAACGAUGGUGGCAACUCCGGCUACGCGGAUUCAGUCAAGGGCCGGGUCACGAUCUCCAGGGACAACGGGCAGAGCUCGGUGACGCUGACCAUGAACAACCUCAAGGAAGAGGAUUCCGGAUCCUAUUUUUGUGCCAAAUGUUACAGCAGUGGUUGUGGUCCUAAUAUUGAUGCUGGUUAUGAUGACGAUGCCAGUGGAACUGUUGCCAAAACCAUCAGCAGUGUUACCAGCAUCACCAUCGAAACGUCUGGCACAGAAAUAAACAGCGGAAUCCUCAUCCUUGGUGUUGUCCAUGGCUAG
This is a non-coding RNA of Melozone crissalis (California towhee), 549 nucleotides long. Lineage: Eukaryota; Metazoa; Chordata; Aves; Passeriformes; Passerellidae. The record is from the annotation of a RefSeq genome assembly.